RNAcentral lists this ribosomal RNA (463 nucleotides) under uncultured bacterium. RNAcentral's name for it is "partial 16S ribosomal RNA". It matches the Rfam family "Bacterial small subunit ribosomal RNA", at positions 28 to 507 of the family's 1533-position model. The record is from RNAcentral.
GAUGAACGCUGACAGAAUGCUUAACACAUGCAAGUCUUUGGCGAAUCUGUGCUUGCACAGGCUAGCCAAGGCGGACGGGUGAGUAACGCGUAAAGAACUUGCCCUGCAGACAGGGAUAACAGACGGAAACGACUGAUAACACCUGAUACAGUUGCCGGCACGCAUGUGCCUGGCAAUGAAAAGAGAUGCUGCAGGAGAGCUUUGCGUCCUAUUAGCUUGUUGGUGAGGUGACGGCUCACCAAAGCGAUGAUAGGUAGCCGGCCUGAGAGGGUGAACGGCCACAAGGGGACUGAGAUACGGCCCUUACUCCUACGGGAGGCAGCAGUGGGGAAUAUUGGACAAUGGGGGCAACCCUGAUCCAGCAAUUCUGUGUGCACGAAGAAGGUUUUCGGAUUGUAAAGUGCUUUCAGCAGGGAAGAAGAAAGUGACGGUACCUGCAGAAGAAGCGACGGCUAAAUACGUG